This 1406-nucleotide long non-coding RNA is filed under the name Numida meleagris (helmeted guineafowl). Its description in RNAcentral is "lncRNA (ENSNMEG00000001999.1)". Lineage: Eukaryota; Metazoa; Chordata; Aves; Galliformes; Numididae. The record is from RNAcentral.
GUCGCUGUCACUGCUGGGUGUCACCAGGGUGGUGUCACUGUCACUGCUGGGGUGUCACCAGGGUGGUGUCACUGUCACAGGUGGGGUGUCACCAGGGUGGUGUCGCUGUCACCCGUGCGGUGUCCCCGGUGUGAAAUCCCCACGAAGUUGUCACGGGGCGGGGUGUCACCCGGCUGUUGUCACCGGUCCGGUGUUGGUGCCAAGCCCGGUGUCCCCUUGUCACCCGCAGAGAGCCGCCUGGCCCUGCUGCUGUCCCUGUCCCUGCUGGGCUCCGUCACCGCGCUGGGGGCGGCCGCGUGGGGCAUCUACUACCUGAAGAGCACCGCCUGUAAGAAGGGGGAGUACAACGUGCGCGACGCCGAGGGUUCCUCCGAGGCCGCCCGCCUGCACCGCGGGGACAGCGGGGGACAACGGGAGCUCUUCGGGAUCCCGCUCACCCCCACCUGAGGGACGACGCCACCCGAGCCCCCCCCGGGGAACGCGGGCAUGUGGUGGGGACGGCGCGGUGACGUCCGCCCCGAGUGGUGGUGUUGGGUGUCGCCGCGCUGUCCCCGUGGGGGUGGGGGUGGUGGUGGUGGUGGCGGGGGGUCGCCGCAUUGUCCUCGAGGAAUGGUGUUGGAUGUCGUCAUGCUGUCCCCAAGGAGCGGUGUUGGAUGUCAUCGUACUGUCCCCAAGGAGCAGUGUUGUUGGAUGUCACCACAAUGUCUCCGAGGAAUGGUGUUGGAUGUCACCACACUGUCCCCAAGAAACAGUCUUGGAUGUCCCCAAGAAACAGUGUUGGAUGUCACCACACUGUCCCCAAGGAGCGGUGUUGUUGGAUGUCUCCAAGGAGCAGUGUUGGAUGUCACCACACUGUCCCCAAGAAACAGUGUUGGAUGUCCCCAAGGAACAGUGUUGGAUGUCACCACACUGUCCCCAAGGAGCGGUGUUGUUGGAUGUCUCUGAGGAACAGUGGUGUUGGAUGUCACCACAAUGUCUCCGAGGAGUGAUGUCGUCGUACUGUCCCCAAGGAGCGGUGUUGUUGGAUGUCAUCGUACUGUCCCCAAGGAACGGUGUUGUUGGAUGUCACCGCAAUGUCUCCGAGGAACGGUGUUGGAUGUCACCACACUGUCCCCAAGGAGUGAUGUUGUCGUACUGUCCUCAAGGAGCGGUGUUGUUGGAUGUCUCCGAGGAACGGUGUUGUUGGAUGUCACUGCAAUGUCUCCAAGGAACGGUGUUGGAUGUCACCGUAGUGUCUCCGAGGAGCGGUGUCAUCGUGCUGUCCCCAAGGAACGGUGUUGUUGGAUGUCACCACAAUGUCUCCGAGGAACGGUGUUGGAUGUCACCACACUGUCCCCAAGGAGUGAUGUCGUCGUACUGUCCCCAAGGAGCGGUGUUGUUGGAUGUCAUCGUACUGUCCCCAAGGA